CAGUCGCCGCGGUAAUACGUAGGUGGCAAGCGCUGUCCGGAGUUAUUGGGCGUAAAGGGCUCGCAGGCGGUUUCUUAAGUCUGAUGUGAAAGCCCCCGGCUCAACCGGGGAGGGUCAUUGGAAACUGGGAAACUUGAGUGUAGAAGAGGAGAGUGGAAUUCCACGUGUAGCGGUGAAAUGCGUAGAGAUGUGGAGGAACACCAGUGGCGAAGGCGACUCUCUGGUCUGUAACUGACGCUGAGGAGCGAAAGCGUGGGGAGCGAACAGGAUUAGAUACCCCGGUAGUCCCUGUCUCUUAUAC
Molecule: ribosomal RNA, 301 nt
Filed under: uncultured bacterium
Lineage: Bacteria
Description: partial 16S ribosomal RNA
Rfam family: Bacterial small subunit ribosomal RNA
Source: RNAcentral